GACGAGACAAGAAAAAAGUAAUUAAUGAUUAUCGACCGUCCUACCCUUAUAUGUAACUACAACAAGAAGAGUACAAAGACUUCAAUUUCUUACCGUUUUUACCUUUUUUAACAUUGGAGUGAAAAAGAAAGUUCAUAAAAAAAAAGGUACACAGUAAAAAGAGUUGCAUUUCACCUUUCCUCUUGUUUUCUUCUUCUCCUUUCCUCUUUGUCUGCGCUUCCUUCU
Molecule: long non-coding RNA, 225 nt
Filed under: Linum usitatissimum (flax)
Lineage: Eukaryota; Viridiplantae; Streptophyta; Magnoliopsida; Malpighiales; Linaceae
Description: long non-coding RNA (LUSI_LNC000576)
Source: RNAcentral